GAUGGACAAAUUGGUGUAAAGUUUUUUUUUGUUUUGUUUUGUUUUGUUUUGUUUUGAAACAGGGUCUCACUCUGUCGCCCAGGCUGGAGUGCAGUGGCACAAUCACAGCUCACUGCAGCCUCAACCUCCGAGGCUCAAGGGAUUCUCCCAUCUCAGCCUCCUGAGUGGCUGGGACUACUCAAUCUAAAGAUGAUAAAAGAAUGAUUAAAGAAACAAUCCAUGGUAUAUCCACAUGACAAUGU
This 242-nucleotide long non-coding RNA is filed under the name Pan troglodytes (chimpanzee). RNAcentral's name for it is "long non-coding RNA NONPTRT018345". The record is from RNAcentral. Lineage: Eukaryota; Metazoa; Chordata; Mammalia; Primates; Hominidae.